Molecule: ribosomal RNA, 516 nt
Filed under: uncultured Bacillota bacterium
Lineage: Bacteria; Bacillati; Bacillota
Description: uncultured Firmicutes bacterium partial 16S ribosomal RNA
Rfam family: Bacterial small subunit ribosomal RNA
Source: RNAcentral
AGGGUUUGAUCCUGGCUCAGGACGAACGCUGGCGGCGUGCCUAACACAUGCAAGUCGAGCGGUGAACCCAAAGAAGGCUUCGGCCGACUUUGGCGGAUCAGCGGCGGAUGGGUGAGUAACGCGUGAGUAACCUGCCUUGUACAGGGGGAUAACAGGUGGAAACACCUGCUAAUACCGCAUAAGACCCCGCUAUCGCAUGAUAGAGAGGUCAAAGAUUUAUCGGUACAAGAUGGACUCGCGUCCCAUUAGCUAGUUGGUGAGAUAAAAGCUCACCAAGGCAACGAUGGGUAACCGGCCUGAGAGGGUGACCGGUCACACUGGGACUGAGACACGGCCCAGACUCCUACGGGAGGCAGCAGUGGGGAAUCUUGCGCAAUGGAGGGAACUCUGACGCAGCGACGUCGCGUGAGCGAAGAAGGUCUUCGGAUCGUAAAGCUCUGUCUUUGGGGACGAAGGAAGUGACGGUACCCAAGGAGGAAGCCCCGGCUAACUACGUGCCAGCAGCCGCGGUAAUAC